GGUACAAAUAAGACAAAUUCCACCCGCAUGCUUUAACCUAUAAAACCUAUAUAUACUCGUCACCUUGCAUAUAUUCCAUUGUCACAACCCAAAAUCGCACCUUAAGGAGCAUGAUAUCACUUAAUCUCUAAGACUAGGUAAGCCGAUCACUUACAACGGUUAAUUAAAUCAAUUAGACAUGAUAUUAUGAGACCGAAUUUAAUAUAAAUACAGAGAUAAAAUAAUACAAGCAUACACGAUGAUAAUCACAACAGGAACUCCCAAGACUAGGUAGUACAGAGUCGCGAGCUCUAACUGAUUAUAUAGUAUUAUCUCAAAACAAAAAUUACAAUGUUGUUCAGAUAGAGAAUUGACAAUAAAAUUAAAAGGGAAGGACUCCAAGGGACUACAGAUAUCGAGCAGCUCUACCUUAAAUCAUCGCGAUCAGUAGCUAACAUUUCCUAGAACCACCACCUUCAACACUUGUAUCUGCACAAAAAUAUGUAAAAGUAUAGUAUGAGUACAUCGCAAUCGGUACCCAGUAAGUAUCCAGACUAACCUCGAUAGAGUAGAUGAGGUAUCAGUCAAGACACCUACUAGAUAUAAUAACUUGUGCAGAAUAUAAGUAUAACGCUAAUAAUGGAAGCAAGAACCAGUAAAUGGUAACAAGGAAUAAACAUGUGAUAACACAGUAAAAAUAAUCCAACACAGUUAAAUGUACAUGUGAAAUAAAUUAAGGGAAAAACACGACAGCUUAAAUCAUCAAACCGUUUCGACACAAGAUUUACCAUUAGAAUCACCCCGAGGUACCACACCUCACAAUCACAAAUCACGAGUCUCAAGUCAUUAAUCAUUUACACAUGGCACCUCAUGCCCACAUUAUCAAUCACAAUCGCACGGAUAACUCUCAUGCCGAUAUCACAAUCUGCCCGGCAUGGUCACAUGCUCACUAUCACAAUCCGACCACCAUGGUCACAUGCUCACUAUCACAAUCCGAUUGGCAUGGUCACAGGCUAACAGUCCAACCAUAUUGCAGAGAAAGUAAAUAUACAAGAAUACAUGUGCAUGUUCAAUGAACAUCAAAUUUCAUACUCUUGAACUGGUUUAAAUGACAUAUUAUGGUGCAUGCAUGUGCAAGUGUACUAUCACAGUUCAAGUAAACAAGUAAUAUCAUAUACACCGAGUGACACAUUGGAAACAACAUAACAAUUACGUAAUAUGCAUGACGCACACUAUGGAGUCAAAAGCAACAACCAGAAUACUCAUCUUUCAUCAACAACACACCCCCAGGCCAACACAUAACAUUUUCCAUAUCGCCACCCUUAUCUCAUCACAUUGACAAUAUCAUAAUAGCCACUCGUAUCUUCGCCCAGACAAUUUAUAAAUAGUCACCCAUAUCUCUCCGCCCCGACAAUAACAUAAUAGCCACCCAUAUCCCUCCGCCCAGAUAAUAAUACAAUAGUCACUCGUAUCACUCCACCCAGACAAUAUAUCAAUAGCCACCUGUAUUGCUCCGCAUAAUCAACAAUAGUGAAAUGCCAUCCUUAUGCUCCGCACAAUCAACAAUAGUAAAAUGCUACCCUUGUGCUCCGCACAACAAUAAUCAAUCCCCACAAUGUCCACAUAUGUCACAAUAUUGCCAAAAAAACAAUACUAACAUCACGAUAACGCCUAAACCAUGACUCAACAACAAUGUAUACAAGAGUCUCAUCAAUCAAAAUAAUGACAUGGAAAGAUAAACUCAACAAUUAAAGAUAUAAUAUGUAAUAACAACAUCAAUUACAUGCAUAUAAGUAACCUAAGAGUCUAACCGGUCAAUUUCCACAUGUAAGGCCGUGUACACACUCGUCACCUUAUGUACACGUCUUUCACAUAAUAGAAAUAGUGUAAUUAAACCCAAUUCUAUGGGGUAGUUUCCCCAUACAAAGUUAGGCAAGAUAUUUACCUCAAUUAGGCCAAAUCUAACAUUAAGUAUCUGAGUUCACAUAGGGUUCGAGGAAGAGUCGCACCUUAAGAGAUAUGAUAUAGGUGACUUACCCUAAUGGAAUCAUCAGUGACUAAUUUCACAACCUUUGAACCGAUGGCGAUCAAGAAAUUGUUAGAAAAUGACUGAUAAGGGAAAGACUUGGUGAUUUUGAAUUUUUUUGACUUUACAAGCUUGAAAGUGGGAACGUUAGCUUUUGUGUUACUAAUUUUUUACACACACACACACUCGCAAAGAAAGUUAGCUCGAUUUUGAUGCAUGAAUGGUCCAUUCGUUGACUAUUUACUACAUUGUCCGGAGCAUUAAAGAAAAGCUUUGAGAGUAUAACAUAUAAACUAUGCCUGUGCCUAGGGGUGAGCAUUCGGUAUUUCGGUUCGGUAUUUGAGAAUUUCGGUUCGGUCUUUUGAUAUUCGGAUUAUCAGUUGUGUAUACCAAAUACCGUACCAAAAUAUUUCGAUACGGUUCAGUAUUUAUUAUUUUGGUUCGGUACAGUUUCGAUUUAAUAUUCGUUAAAUAAGCAACACUAACGAGUGACAAUUCUCCUAUGUUUCAAUGCACUGUCUAACUGUUCAUCCAAGAAAUACAAUGAAAUUGAACAACCAUUUCUUCAGAAAGAAGUAAAUAGACAUGAUGCAUUUUCUAAUGCUGGCAUUUGGAGCCAACUCACAUUCUUGGCUUAAUGCCUUAAUCCACUAUUCAACAAACAUGCGACAGUAGCAGCAUUAACAUGCUGCAAAUUUUUUCUCUGAAAAUGGCCAAGUUUAAUGUAAUCUUUUGGCAGAAAAUAUAUGCAACAGUAGCAGCAUUAACAAUAGCAGAAUUAACAGUACCAACAUUAACAGUAGUAGUAGCAGAAUUAACAGUAACAAUAGAAUGAGAACAAAAUUAAUUUUUGAAUUAAUAGUAGCAGGAGAAUUAUUUUUCUUUUUCUAAAUUAAAAAUAUUUAAUUUUUUCUGAACAAUGUAUGAAUGAGACAGUGUCAUAUAAAAUGAAACACCCGUUACAUAAUUUAACAAAUUUUUCAAACUAGUGCUAAUGAAAUUCAAACAAGGAGAAUAAAUCUUGAAAUGGAUGAACUGAGAAUAAGCAGAAAACACAGGAGGAAGACGAAAACUAUCUCUUGAUUACAAAAUUCUCUCUCAAGAAAUUAUUUCAACAUGUGGGUAAAAGUUAUGAACCUGUUGAAGUCUUGAAGAGUUGAAGAUUAAAGAUUGUUUCUCAAUUCUCACUUCUCAGAGUUCUCUCACAGGUCACAGCCAUGGCCGGUCAGCCGAUCUCUUAGGUUUUUAAUUACCAAUUCCAAGUGAGAGUGAAAGACUAAAU
This 3287-nucleotide long non-coding RNA is filed under the name Nicotiana tabacum (common tobacco). RNAcentral's name for it is "long non-coding RNA (NTAB_LNC018913)". Lineage: Eukaryota; Viridiplantae; Streptophyta; Magnoliopsida; Solanales; Solanaceae. The record is from RNAcentral.